RNAcentral lists this long non-coding RNA (1773 nucleotides) under Gossypium barbadense (sea-island cotton). RNAcentral's name for it is "long non-coding RNA (GBAR_LNC015927)". The record is from RNAcentral. Lineage: Eukaryota; Viridiplantae; Streptophyta; Magnoliopsida; Malvales; Malvaceae.
AGAAACAAAAGAAGAAAGAAACAGAAUAGCCAAAGACGAAACAGAGAAGAAACAGGGGAGAAAGAAGAAAAAAGAAAGAAAAAGGAAAAAUUGAAGGUUUAAGGUUUAAAGCUUUGAUUGGUAAGUCAAAUUAGCCCUUUUCUCUUAAUUCUAAUGUUUUAAAAGCUUUAAAACAAAGUUUUGAUGGAAUUAAGUUGAUAUUUUGUAAGUUCAUAGGUUUUCAAGUAUAGUUUAUGUUGAACAAAAGAGAUGAAUUAGGGAUUAACUUGAAGGAAUUUUAAGUUAGAAUUGAAAAAGGGAUUAAAUUGUAAAAGAAACUAUAAGUUUUAUGUUUUAGGGACUAAAUUGAGGGAAAUUCGAAAUUAGUAAAAUAUGCUGAAAUUUUGAUAGUUAAAUUUUAGUUUGGAUGAAAUUUGAAUAGAAAUAGAGCGUGAAUUGAAUUAGGAAAGUAAGUGAAUUUAGUUAGGAUUAAAUUGAGAAUUAGGAAGAAAUUGAAUAGAAAUUCAAUUAUUUAUUAUAAUUAGUGCUGUAAUUAAUAUUACAAAUUAUUAUUUUCGUAGCUAACAAAGAACCCGAGGCAUCGGCGUCAAAAGGAAAGGAGAAAGUUAUUGAGGACUAAAACAGGAGAAUAACGGUUUGUAUUACUAUAAUUCAAGUUAUUUAUUAUUAAAUGCUAAAUUUUAAUUUAUGUGUCUAGUAAAUGAAAUGUGAGGUAAGUAUAAUAUUAGUAUUAAUUUAUUAUUAGUAUUAUUAUUAUUAUUAUGAGUGGGAAUUAAAUUGAAUAGUUUAUAUGAAUUAAUAUUUGAAUUGUUUGUUGAUUGAAAGCGGGAAAUGAAUUUGAAUCGAAUUGUGAAUGGUAUUAAAUUGUAUGGAAAUGUAUUGAGUUGUGAAAAUGUGUGAAUUUGUGAAAUAAUUAUUGAUUGAAUGUGGAAAAAUGAUUGAAUUGAAAGUGUGAGAAAUUGUGAUUGAAUUGAGAAUAUAUGUGAUUUAAAUACCCUAUUAACUAGUCGGGCUGAGUCGGAUAUAGUUGGCAUGCCAUAGGAUUGGAAGAGUUCAGGGAUACUUCGACCUCGAGUCGAUGAGACACUGGGUGUCACUAUAUUUCUUCGGAUAGAUUCGAUGAGGUACUGGGUACCAACUUUCUUCGGCUUUGCCGAUGAGACACUGGGUGUCAACUAUUGCUUCAAACUAUCCGAUGAGGCACUGGGUGCCAUUCUGGUGUGUUUGGUUGGAUCCGUGUAUCCGCCAAAGUCCAAGUUUUGUUAAUAGGGUAAAUGAUGAAAUGAUAAACCGAACGAGUUGGUCAAACGAGCUAUUGAAAUGAUAUGAAAAAGUUGAAUUGUGAAUUGAAAUGUGAAAUGAGAUUGAGAAAUGAACCUAAGGUUCGUGAUUUAUUCAAACUCAAAUUGUGGAUAUACGAUAUUGGUUGAUGAAUUGCUAUUGUUGAAAUAUUGAAUUUAAAUUGUAUAUACGAUUUAUGCAUUACAUGUACAUUAUUGUUAUAAUUUGAAUUAUGGUAAUACCACUGAGUAUGAAUUACUCAGCGUACGGUUGUUUCCUUGCGCAGGUCGAUAGAAGUCAAAGGUCCCGGUUCAGCAUCCAGAUUAAUCCCGGCUUUGGCAAAACUUGGUGAUGUAUUUUUCCUUUGGUAAAGGUGGCAUGUACAUAGAUUGUAUAUAAAGGUUAUUAUGUUUUAAUAUAUAAUGGUUAAAAAUGUUAGUAUUAAAAGUUUAUGGAUUAUAAUGAAAGAAGUCUAUCUAUUUUAUCUAAUUA